RNAcentral lists this ribosomal RNA (497 nucleotides) under uncultured bacterium. RNAcentral describes it as "partial 16S ribosomal RNA". It matches the Rfam family "Bacterial small subunit ribosomal RNA", at positions 28 to 507 of the family's 1533-position model. The record is from RNAcentral.
GAUGAACGCUGGCGGCGUGCCUAAUACAUGCAAGUCGAGCGAACGGACGAGAAGCUUGCUUCUCUGAUGUUAGCGGCGGACGGGUGAGUAACACGUGGAUAACCUACCUAUAAGACUGGGAUAACUUCGGGAAACCGUAGCUAAUACCGGAUAAUAUUUUGAACCGCAUGGUUCAAAAGUGAAAGACGGUCUUGCUGUCACUUAUAGAUGGAUCCGCGCUGCAUUAGCUAGUUGGUAAGGUAACGGCUUACCAAGGCAACGAUGCAUAGCCGACCUGAGAGGGCGAUCGGCCACACUGGAACUGAGACACGGUCCAGACUCCUACGGGAGGCAGCAGUAGGGAAUCUUCCGCAAUGGGCGAAAGCCUGACGGAGCAACGCCGCGUGAGUGAUGAAGGUCUUCGGAUCGUAAAACUCUGUUAUUAGGGAAGAACAUAUGUGUAUGUAACUGUGCACAUCUUGACGGUACCUAAUCAGAAAGCCACGGCUAACUACGUG